AUCUCCACUCUUUGUCCCCAAAGGGGCAGUGGAAACGAAAAAGCUCCAUAGCCGAAAACCUUUUCGUAAAUUCAUUGUUGCUGGGCUUGAGCUUUUGUUCUAUUGCUGAUUUCUAACGUUGGCCCAAAAAAAAAAACAAAAAAAUGGCGACAUUCUUUCAGAGACUCGCUAAAGCUACUGCCGUAGCAUUCGCCAAUGCAGUUGGGAGCCAACCCCAAGUCCGGUUAUAGAAUUCCUUUCAGAGCACUUGCAGCAGUUUCUGGUGGAAUCUCUUAUCUAUACUAUGUUUCCUCACCUGAUAUGGUAAUUUUUGCCUGCUGAUUUUAUCUGGAUUUUUCUUCUUUUUCAUUGUUUGAGGCAAGGUAGGGUAGUUCCAUAACUGAAAUGAUUUGUUGAUGAUUGAGAAAAGUGAUUGUAAGUCGGGUUUGUGGCUUGCCCAUUUGGGUUUCUUGGAUAAUGGGUGUUUAUUUUUCUCGAUUUUAAUGUAUGAAGAAAAAAUGAGUAUGUUCGUGCUGAUUUUAUUUUAUUUUUUUUAAGUUUUGCUACAGAUGACUAUUUUGAAGCUCAAUACUUGUUUGAUUACUGGUACAUUGCGCUUUAGGUUGUUGGGAGUGCUGGGUUUGUUUUUAGAUUUUAUCGUUAAUAAAAUCUUACCACUUGAGAAGAAAUAGGAGGACCCAGAAAGAAAUUAUUGAAGUAAAUUAAUCCCGUGUGCAUUACAUUGGUUUUGAAAAUGCUUUUCCUAUUUCGAAAAAAAUCUGCUUCUUAUACUUUGCAUGCAACAUUUUGACCUAAGUAUAUAAUUUUGCUUUUUUCAUUAGAUGAAAAACUUUUUCUUUGCUCAUGUCAUGAUUUAAUCUGGAAUUGGUGUAGUUUUCUACUUGGUUACUUGAUAUAAUUGUUGUUGAAGCGACCCUUGCUUUAAGACACUGAAUAAUUUAUACUUCGUAUCUAAAUGUUGGGUAGUUGUUGCAUGAGUGGUUGGUUGAUAUAGGACAUUGUUACAGAUGCCCAAACAAAAUAUUCAUGCAAUAAUGUGUCACAACUGUGAAAAGGCAUUCAGAUAUGAUCAAUAGCACCAUUGACUAACCAACCUUUUCAAGUUUUUGGCAGGAUAUCCGAAUAUAAUUUUAAAGCUUCAGAAGUUAGUUCAGUCACCAAAGUAACUAAUAUUCUAUAUUACUCAUAAUGUAGAUUUUCAUUUGAUCACACCGCCAAGUUGGGUUUAGGUAUUGUUUCAUGCCUCCUUACAAGGUAUACUCUUCUGUUUUUGUUAGUAAUGUUGUUCUCAAAUUCCUAGUUGCAAGGAGUCUAUACCAUUAUUCUCUGUUUAUGGUUGUUCUAGUAACUGCAGGGCUCCACUGGGACAAGUUGCUGAAGGGAAGCCUAAAUAUAUUGUGUGUCCGUAUGUCUCUUUCUUCGAAUGCACAUGCGCUUUCUUGAAGUAGUUUUUCUCAUUUUUGUACUGGAUUGUUUGAAAUUGUAAAUCAUCAGAAGUUUAGUAUUUUUUUUUUUUUUUUUUGGCUCAUAUAUGUGGAGGUUUAUGUUUAUCCUUCUAACUGCAUAUUCAUUUUUUAUUAAUUUUAUCUUCAUGCAUGUUCUAUGUUCUUUCAUUAUAAAGUUAUUGGUUACUGAUUCCACUACAAUAUAUAACUUGAAUCUUUAAGUCGAGAUUAUGAUUUUACUAAACAAGUUGUUGAUUGUUCUCCCCCUCAAUGUCACUUUGUGGAACAAUUUUUUUGUUUGCAUAUACAGGUACGCUACAAUAUCAGAUCCAGAUGCGAAGGGAUAUUUUGACCUAUUAAUUAAGGUGUACCCAGAAGGUAAAAUGAGUCAGCAUCUUGCAAGCUUAAAACCAGGCGAUGUGGUUGAAGUGAAGGGAUGAGGGUCAUUUUUUGUGGGCAUGGUGUGCUGAAAGUUAACAACGUCCAUAGUACUGCAUCUCAGAUUGUCAUAGAGACAAUGUAAUUGGAUUUAUUUUAAUUUUGCAAAACCAAUUGACAAAUCUGGCACAGAAAGCUUUUUGGAUAUUCUCCCAUGUAAAGUGGAAAAUUUUCAGAUUACUGACUUGCUUGGGAAUAUCACAAGUGUGACGGUCCGCACCUUUGGAAUGGCCUAGUGGCAUUUUCGUAAAUAUUUGAAGGUCGGGAUAUUCGAUCCCGGGCCGUGGGAAGUUCUUAAGAAUGUCACUAGGAUGGUGCAUAUCGAAUGGCAAGCCAAGAUGUGAAGGUUUGCUAGAGAAAACCCCAUUAUGAUUCCUCGCACAAAGUGAUAUCUAUGGGUGCCAGAAAGGAAAUGGCUCAAUAAGCUUUUUAGGGGGGUGGUCCGUGUCUGGCUCUCCACGGCCCCCGGCUCCGGCUUCGAGCUUGGGCUAAGCGAGCCUCCCAUGGGCGACGGCAAGCCAUGGGGCGGACAUAAAGUGCCACGGAGGUGGUCUUAUGUCUCCGAGGGACAGGGAGUCCCGAGGACAGUACCGGUAGGCGCUACGAGCUGGUAUUGCGCGUCACUCCUGUGUCAGAGGCUAAGUGUAGCAUUCGCUAUGCCGUUUUCUAUCGGCUAUGCCAAGAACACACGUAGGCCUUUGUUACAAGGCUGUGGCAAAUGUGCUAGUGAGCGGGGGCUCGGGUUCUGCCUCGCUCACGAGGGUUGGAAGUUAAAUAGGCACGGACGGGGCGACACCGUGCCAUCGGGUGACAUUCGUAUAUGGGCUUCCAAUCUUGUGUUGCUACCCUGGGUGGCAUGUUGACACGAUGCUGGUGUGCAUGCCCUAGGGUCGGAUGCUAUUCGAGAUGUACAUGGACCAAGGCCCGAGUGAAGAGAUGGGUUGCUGGCUAGAUCUUGGCACAAGAUUGAGUAACAAGCUACCGAGUGGGCGCGAGGCCAUCGGGCUAGCUUGCUGAGCGACAUGAGCCAUGAUGGCUAUGGGAACCACAUGAGCAUACAAUUGGUAUCAGAUGGGUCGAUAUAUGAACUCGGAUAGUGAAAACGCUGGCCAUGACUAGAGAGUCUUGGCGCCGCACGGUCUAUUUCCGCUGCGUAAAAUGUAGGACCGUGACAACAAGCAUGUGUUGAAGCCAAAACACUAAAUGCUAACUGAUGAUGAGAAGCAGAAACUUGUAAAGAAAAACAGCAUAGACGAAAUGCAGGUUAUUAUUGAUUUAACUAGAGACUGCAAAUGUGCAAUUGGAUAGGAUAUAUAUAUAUAUAUAUAUUUUUUUUUU
Molecule: long non-coding RNA, 3221 nt
Organism: Ziziphus jujuba (common jujube)
Lineage: Eukaryota; Viridiplantae; Streptophyta; Magnoliopsida; Rosales; Rhamnaceae
Exons: 4
Source: RefSeq, a predicted model, not a curated record